Molecule: unclassified non-coding RNA, 238 nt
Filed under: Amesomyces nigricolor
Lineage: Eukaryota; Fungi; Ascomycota; Sordariomycetes; Sordariales; Chaetomiaceae
Description: Amesia nigricolor partial internal transcribed spacer region
Rfam family: Eukaryotic small subunit ribosomal RNA (bases 1-46)
Source: RNAcentral
AAGUCGUAACAAGGUCUCCGUUGGUGAACCAGCGGAGGGAUCAUUACAGAGUUGCAAAACUCCCUAAACCAUUGUGAACGUUACCUUUAACCGUUGCUUCGGCGGGCGGCGCUCUGCCGCCCCUCGGCCCUGCCCGGGCGCCCGCCGGAGGAUACCCAACUCUUGAUACUUUGAUGGCCUCUCUGAGUCUUCUGUACUGAAUAAGUCAAAACUUUCAACAACGGAUCUCUUGGUUCUG